This 251-nucleotide ribosomal RNA is filed under the name uncultured bacterium. RNAcentral describes it as "partial 16S ribosomal RNA". It matches the Rfam family "Bacterial small subunit ribosomal RNA", at positions 525 to 775 of the family's 1533-position model. The record is from RNAcentral.
ACGGAGGAUGCAAGCGUUAUCCGGAUUUAUUGGGUUUAAAGGGAGCGCAGACGGGUCGUUAAGUCAGCUGUGAAAGUUUGGGGCUCAACCUUAAAAUUGCAGUUGAUACUGGCGUCCUUGAGUGCGGUUGAGGUGUGCGGAAUUCGUGGUGUAGCGGUGAAAUGCUUAGAUAUCACGAAGAACUCCGAUUGCGAAGGCAGCACACUAAGCCGUAACUGACGUUCAUGCUCGAAAGUGUGGGUAUCAAACAG